This 253-nucleotide ribosomal RNA is filed under the name uncultured bacterium. Its description in RNAcentral is "partial 16S ribosomal RNA". It matches the Rfam family "Bacterial small subunit ribosomal RNA", at positions 524 to 776 of the family's 1533-position model. The record is from RNAcentral.
UACGAGGGGUCCAAGCGUUGUUCGGAAUCACUGGGCGUAAAGCGGGCGUAGGUGGCUCUGUAAGUCAGGGGUGAAAGCCCCGAGCUUAACUUGGGAAGUGCUUUUGAUACUGCAGAGCUUGAGUGUGGGAGAGGAUCGUGGAAUUCCUGGUGUAGUGGUGAAAUACGUAGAUAUCAGGAGGAACACCGGUGGCGAAGGCGGCGAUCUGGCCCAACACUGACACUGAGACCCGAAAGCGUGGGGAGCAAACAGG